CUUUCUAGUUCCCUCCCCCUUUCUCUAGUUCCCUCCCCCUUUCUCCAGAGUCCUGCCCCAUGAGUUCCUCUGAGCAUGAACAGAAAGCUGUCUUGGGACUAUUGGACUCUUGGCGCCCUUCCCAGGAAAGGGGUUUCAGAGUGUUCAGAUAUGUUUCAAUCUCUUGUUCUGGCAUGGUUCCCGGACAGAAAGUAAGUUGCAGUGUGGUUCUUUAGCAAGGCCAGAAGGCAUGAGAAAGGCCUGAGAAACAAUGGACUGUUCUCUACCUUUUGUUACAGCAGAGCGGAAUGUUUCUGAUGCUUAGCUGCUGAUAAAAUGAUUUUGAAAAGCUUUGAAAAGCUUUGAGCCUGCUUUGGUGGGGGG
Podarcis lilfordi (Lilford's wall lizard) is the source of this 363-nucleotide non-coding RNA. Lineage: Eukaryota; Metazoa; Chordata; Lepidosauria; Squamata; Lacertidae. The record is from the annotation of a GenBank genome assembly.